This 244-nucleotide ribosomal RNA is filed under the name uncultured bacterium. Its description in RNAcentral is "partial 16S ribosomal RNA". It matches the Rfam family "Bacterial small subunit ribosomal RNA", at positions 14 to 245 of the family's 1533-position model. The record is from RNAcentral.
GUAUCCUGGCUCAGGAUGAACGCUAGCUACAGGCUUAACACAUGCAAGUCGAGGGGCAGCAUUUUAGUUUGCUUGCAAACUAAAGAUGGCGACCGGCGCACGGGUGAGUAACACGGUAUCCAACCUGCCGAUAACGUCAGGGAUAGACCUUUCGAAGAAAGAUUAAUACCUGAUGGCAUAGGAUUAUCGCGAUGAUAAUCCUAUUAAAGAAUUUCGGUUAUCGAUGGGGAUGCGUUCCAUUAGG